RNAcentral lists this ribosomal RNA (516 nucleotides) under uncultured Entrophospora. RNAcentral describes it as "SSU rRNA". It matches the Rfam family "Eukaryotic small subunit ribosomal RNA", at positions 569 to 1081 of the family's 1831-position model. The record is from RNAcentral. Lineage: Eukaryota; Fungi; Glomeromycota; Glomeromycetes; Entrophosporales; Entrophosporaceae.
AGCAGCCGCGGUAAUUCCAGCUCCAAUAGCGUAUAUUAAAGUUGUUGCAGUUAAAAAGCUCGUAGUUGAAUUUCGGGAUUGACGUGAUGGUCGUGCCUUAAGGGGUAUGAACUGUCGCAGUUGAUUUCUCACCUUCUGGAGAAGCUUGAUGUCCUUAAUUGGGUGUCAUGUGGAACCAGGACCUUUACCUUGAAAAAAUUAGAGUGUUUAAAGCAGGCAUUUUGCUCGAAUACAUUAGCAUGGAAUAAUAGAAUAGGACGGCAUGGUUCUAUUUUGUUGGUUUCUAGGAUCACCGUAAUGAUUAAUAGGGAUAGUUGGGGGCAUUAGUAUUCAAUUGUCAGAGGUGAAAUUCUUGGAUUUAUGAAGACUAACUACUGCGAAAGCAUUUGCCAAGGAUGUUUUCAUUAAUCAAGAACGAAAGUUAGGGGAUCGAAGACGAUCAGAUACCGUCGUAGUCUUAACCAUAAACUAUGCCGACUAGGAAUCAGACGAUGUUAAUUUUUAAUGUACUCAUUC